Molecule: long non-coding RNA, 1235 nt
Organism: Thalassophryne amazonica
Lineage: Eukaryota; Metazoa; Chordata; Actinopteri; Batrachoidiformes; Batrachoididae
Exons: 2
Source: RefSeq, a predicted model, not a curated record
AACUCUUUAAAAGUUGUUUAUCUUGUGUUUCUAUGUAAAUGAUGUUUCCUCAUUACUUUAAUCCUCAUUAAUUUCCCCAGUAUUCCCUCAUUUCUGUGGUUUUCAAGAUUUUUGCUUUAUUAAUACAUCAAAAAAGCUCAAAUUUGAAAUGUCCAAUUGUUAAUUUUGAAAAAACUGUCAUGUUCAAAAUUUGUAAUCUUGGUGUGUUAGUAAAAAUUGUUGAUGAGGGUUUUGCCUCAUAAUACAUCAGGAAAGCUCAAAUUUGAAAUUUCCAAUUGUUCAUUUUGAAAAAACUCAUGUUCAAAAUUUGUAAUCUCCCUGGUGUUUUAGUAAAAAUUUUGUUGAGGUCUUUGCCUCAUUAAUACAUCAGAAAAGCUCAAAUUUGAAAUUUCCAAUUAAUUUUGAAAAAAAAAUGCUAUGCUCAAAAUUUGUCAUCUCCCUGGUGUUUUAGUAAAAUGUUGUUCUUGAGGUUUGUGCCUCAUUAAUAUUGUAUUCUCCCUGGCGGUUUAGUAAAAAUGUUGUUGUGGGUUUUGCCUCAUUAAUACAUCAGAAAAGCUCAAAUUUGAAAUUUCCAAUUGUUAAUUUUGAAAAAACUGUCAUGUUCAAAAUUUGUCAUCUCCUUGGUGCUUUAAUAAAAAUGUUGUUCUUGAGGGUUUUGCCUCAUUAAUACAUCAGAAAAGCUCAAAUUUGAAAUUUACAAAGGUUAAUUUUGAAAAACUGUCAUGUUCAAAAUUUGUCAUCUCCCUGGUGUUUUAGAAAAAUGUAAUUCUUGAGGAUUUUGCCUCAUUAAUACGUCAGGAAAGCACAAAUUUGAAAUCAGUUGUUAAUUUUGAACAUCACCUUGAUGUUCUUUCUCAUAACACCAUAUGAUGGGCUGCCUGAUACAUUUCAAUUUUAGAGGUAGCCACAUGAGAUAUUUAUUUUUAGUCUUUUAUGUUUAGCAUUCUAAGUUAUUUUAUAUCUUUGCAAAAGUAUCUCUUUUUUUUAAGAUUUUUGCACAGUACUGUAUAUUACGUCAGUGUUUAUACCAUAAAUGGCCUCAUCUCACAUUUGCCGAAUUAAAAAUGAAACUAUAGAAUUUAGUUCAUCCCCUAAAAAUCAAAGCAGUUGCUCCCUGGCGGAAAAAUGCAACCAACUAAAAACAAUAUUAUUAUAUGAUCAUUUAUAUGAUCGUUCUAUUUUGUCUUACAGCAGCUGAAGGCAGAAACUGAAAAAAUACAUAAUUUAUCUUCUUU